RNAcentral lists this unclassified non-coding RNA (352 nucleotides) under soil metagenome. Its description in RNAcentral is "partial contains 5.8S ribosomal RNA, internal transcribed spacer 2, and large subunit ribosomal RNA". The stretch from base 1 to 120 matches the Rfam family "5.8S ribosomal RNA", at positions 35 to 154 of the family's 154-position model. The record is from RNAcentral.
GAUGAAGAACGUAGCGAAAUGCGAUAAGUAAUGUGAAUUGCAGAAUUCAGUGAACCAUCGAAUCUUUGAACGCACAUUGCGCCCGCCAGUAUUCUGGCGGGCAUGCCUGUUCGAGCGUCAUUACAACCCUCAGGCCCCCGGGCCUGGCGUUGGGGAUCGGCGGAGCCCCCCGUGGGCACACGCCGUCCCCCAAAUACAGUGGCGGUCCCGCCGCAGCUUCCAUCGCGUAGUAGCUAACACCUCGCGACUGGAGAGCGGCGCGGCCACGCCGUAAAACACCCAACUCUUCUGAAGUUGACCUCGAAUCAGGUAGGAAUACCCGCUGAACUUAAGCAUAUCAAUAAGCGGAGGA